GAGAAGCUUGCUUCUCUGAUGUUAGCGGCGGACGGGUGGGUAACACGUGGGUAACCUACCUAUAAGACUGGGAUAACUCCGGGAAACCGGGGCUAAUACCGGAUAAUAUUUUGAACCGCAUGGUUCAAUAGUGAAAGACGGUUUCGGCUGUCACUUAUAGAUGGACCCGCGCCGUAUUAGCUAGUUGGUAAGGUAACGGCUUACCAAGGCGACGAUACGUAGCCGACCCGAGAGGGUGAUCGGCCACACUGGAACUGAGACACGGUCCAGACUCCUACGGGAGGCAGCAGUAGGGAAUCUUCCGCAAUGGGCGAAAGCCUGACGGAGCAACGCCGCGUGAGUGAUGAAGGUCUUCGGAUCGUAAAACUCUGUUGUUAGGGAAGAACAAAUUUGUUAGUAACUGAACAAGUCUUGACGGUACCUAACCAGAAAGCCACGGCUAACUACGUGCCAGCAGCCGCGGUAAUACGUAGGUGGCAAGCGUUAUCCGGAAUUAUUGGGCGUAAAGCGCGCGUAGGCGGUUUCUUAAGUCUGAUGUGAAAGCCCACGGCUCAACCGUGGAGGGUCAUUGGAAACUGGGAAACUUGAGUGCAGAAGAGGAGAGUGGAAUUCCAUGUGUAGCGGUGAAAUGCGCAGAGAUAUGGAGGAACACCAGUGGCGAAGGCGGCUCUCUGGUCUGUAACUGACGCUGAUGUGCGAAAGCGUGGGGAUCAAACAGGAUUAGAUACCCUGGUAGUCCACGCCGUAAACGAUGAGUGCUAAGUGUUAGGGGGUUUCCGCCCCUUAGUGCUGCAGCUAACGCAUUAAGCACUCCGCCUGGGGAGUACGACCGCAAGGUUGAAACUCAAAGGAAUUUGACGGGGACCCGCACAAGCGGUGGAGCAUGUGGUUUAAUUCGAAGCAACGCGAAGAACCUUACCAAAUCUUGACAUCCUUUUGACCGCUCUAGAGAUAGAGUCUUCCCCUUCGGGGGAACAAAGUGACAGGUGGUGCAUGGUUGUCGUCCGC
Molecule: ribosomal RNA, 1008 nt
Filed under: uncultured Staphylococcus sp.
Lineage: Bacteria; Bacillati; Bacillota; Bacilli; Caryophanales; Staphylococcaceae
Description: bacterial SSU rRNA
Rfam family: Bacterial small subunit ribosomal RNA
Source: RNAcentral